RNAcentral lists this non-coding RNA (327 nucleotides) under Eustigmatophyceae sp. Ndem 8/9T-3m6.8. Lineage: Eukaryota; Eustigmatophyceae. The record is from RNAcentral.
GGGGCUGUUUUUGGUUUCGACGGUUGCAAAAGCAAUUACUCUUAGAUUUGAAAAAAUUUUUUAAAAUUAAAAAAAUUAAAAUAACUCAAGCAGUUUUUGCAUAAAUUUCAGAGAUAACUUUUAAACCUUUUAUUUAUAAAUUCAAAUAAAAAAUAUAUUUUGUUAUAAUAUAACAUCGCACACUUUUAAAAUUGAAAUUAUGUAUUAACUUUUUUUUUAAAAGUAUUUAAUUCUCAAUAAUACAAAUUAGUAGUAAUAUAGAAAUACGAACUUUAAAAUCUAACUUAAUAAUGCAAUCGCAUGUAGGUUCAAAUCCUACCAGCUCCA